RNAcentral lists this ribosomal RNA (1489 nucleotides) under Photorhabdus luminescens. Its description in RNAcentral is "bacterial LSU rRNA". It matches the Rfam family "Bacterial large subunit ribosomal RNA", at positions 690 to 2156 of the family's 2925-position model. The record is from RNAcentral. Lineage: Bacteria; Pseudomonadati; Pseudomonadota; Gammaproteobacteria; Enterobacterales; Morganellaceae.
GGGCGAAUGAGUUGCAGGGUAUAGACCCGAAACCCGGUGAGCUAGCCAUGGGCAGGUUGAAGGUUGGGUAACACUAACUGGAGGACCGAACCGACUAAUGUUGAAAAAUUAGCGGAUGACCUGUGGCUGGGGGUGAAAGGCCAAUCAAACCGGGAGAUAGCUGGUUCUCCCCGAAAGCUAUUUAGGUAGCGCCUCGUGAAUUCAUCUUCGGGGGUAGAGCACUGUUUCGGCUAGGGGGCCAUCCCGGCUUACCAACCCGAUGCAAACUGCGAAUACCGAAGAAUGGUAUCACGGGAGACACACGGCGGGUGCUAACGUCCGUCGUGAAGAGGGAAACAACCCAGACCGCCAGCUAAGGUCCCGAAGUCAUGGUUAAGUGGGAAACGAUGUGGGAAGGCCCAGACAGCCAGGAUGUUGGCUUAGAAGCAGCCAUCAUUGAAAGAAAGCGUAAUAGCUCACUGGUCGAGUCGGCCUGCGCGGAAGAUGUAACGGGGCUAAACCAUGCACCGAAGCUGCGGCAAUGACAUUUAGGUGUUAUUGGGUAGGGGAGCGUUCUGUAAGCCGUUGAAGGCGGCGCUGUGAGGCCCGCUGGAGGUAUCAGAAGUGCGAAUGCUGACAUAAGUAACGAUAAAGCGGGUGAAAAACCCGCUCGCCGGAAGACCAAGGGUUCCUGUCCAACGUUAAUCGGGGCAGGGUGAGUCGACCCCUAAGGCGAGGCCGAAAGGCGUAGCUGAUGGGAAACAGGUUAAUAUUCCUGUACUGAAUGUGACUGCGAAGGGGGGACGGAGAAGGCUAGGCCAUCCGGGCGACGGUUGUCCCGGUUUAAGCGUGUAGGUGGGAGGAGCAGGCAAAUCCGCUCUUCUGUAACACUGAGGCGUGAUGACGAGCUGCUACGGCAGUGAAGUGGCUGAUGCCCGGCUUCCAGGAAAAGCCUCUAAGCGUCAGGUCAUAUUGAAUCGUACCCCAAACCGACACAGGUGGUCAGGUAGAGAAUACUCAGGCGCUUGAGAGAACUCGGGUGAAGGAACUAGGCAAAAUGGUGCCGUAACUUCGGGAGAAGGCACGCUGGCGGUAGGUGAGGGGCUUUGCGCCCGGAGCCGAAGCCAGUCGCAGAGACCAGCUGGCUGCAACUGUUUAUUAAAAACACAGCACUGUGCCAACACGUAAGUGGACGUAUACGGUGUGACGCCUGCCCGGUGCUGGAAGGUUAAUUGAUGGGGUUAGCCGCAAGGCGAGGCUCUUGAUCGAAGCCCCAGUAAACGGCGGCCGUAACUAUAACGGUCCUAAGGUAGCGAAAUUCCUUGUCGGGUAAGUUCCGACCUGCACGAAUGGCGUAAUGAUGGCCAGGCUGUCUCCACCCGAGACUCAGUGAAAUUGAACUCGCUGUGAAGAUGCAGUGUCCCCGCGGCAAGACGGAAAGACCCCGUGAACCUUUACUAUAGCUUGACACUGAACAUGGAGCCUUGAUGUGUAGGAUAGGUGGGAGGCC